AGCGAACGCUGGCGGCAGGCUUAACACAUGCAAGUCGAACGGGCGUAGCAAUACGUCAGUGGCAGACGGGUGAGUAACGCGUGGGAACGUACCUUUUGGUCGGAACAACCCAGGGAAACUUGGGCUAAUACCGGAUAAGCCCUUACGGGGAAAGAUUUAUCGCCGAAAGAUCGGCCCGCGUCUGAUUAGCUAGUUGGUGAGGUAACGGCUCACCAAGGCGACGAUCAGUAGCUGGUCUGAGAGGAUGAUCAGCCACAUUGGGACUGAGACACGGCCCAAACUCCUACGGGAGGCAGCAGUGGGGAAUAUUGGACAAUGGGCGCAAGCCUGAUCCAGCCAUGCCGCGUGAGUGAUGAAGGCCCUAGGGUUGUAAAGCUCUUUUGUGCGGGAAGAUAAUGACGGUACCGCGAAGAAUAAGCCCCGGCUAACUUCGUGCCAGCAGCCGCCGCUGUAAU
This 455-nucleotide ribosomal RNA is filed under the name uncultured bacterium. RNAcentral describes it as "bacterial SSU rRNA". It matches the Rfam family "Bacterial small subunit ribosomal RNA", at positions 29 to 524 of the family's 1533-position model. The record is from RNAcentral.